CAGUUAUCAGUCAUACUUCAUGCUACGAACAUCUGUAGUUCUGUACUUCAUGCUACGAAGUUGUAUAGUCGAGAACGUAGGCAUUAUAAUAGCCUUUAAUCUAUCCUUGGCAAUUUCAUCUGAUCACGUGGUCUGACUGAAACUGCUCUACAUUUCCCAAAAAUGUCGUCUGUUGCUCGUUGCUGCCUGGUUGCUGCACGUACCGGCUGUACUUUCAUCACAUGAAGCAAUACUUCAGAACAGUAAACCUGGUGAAGUCUGUGCUUCUUUAUUGCAGUCCAAUGUGUGCAUGGAUUUGUUGCAGCCAGCUGGUGAAAGGUGUUUCUCAUGCAGGCUUGCUUGCUCUGUACCAUUUGAAGCUUUCAUCACGUGAGUAAUGCUUCAGAGCAAUUUAAGGAUUACAGCCUCUUUAACUUAAGGUCUGAGCCUCUUCGUGGCACUCCAAUGUGCACACGGAUUUGGUGCAGCCAGCUGUUGAAAGGUGGUGGAGUGUCUGUUCGUGAGUGAGUGACUAUAUUCUGCCAAUGACAGUGAACGGGAAUGUGUUGCUGACGGUGUUUUUCGUUUUUACAUUUAAGAACGAUUGAGGUAUUCGGACGCCAUUCAACCAAACUGAAUCGAAAGUGACCAACUCUAAAGCAAGUCAUGCCUUUCUCCAUGUGGUCGCUGAUGUGUCAUGAAUAUGCGUCUUCGAGACGGUCUUUACUAUAGUGCAAGACAAUAUUGUGAUGAAAACGGGAAAUCUGAAAUGGAUUUCAUGUUCAGCUUGAUUUUGGAGCUGUUUGCGAUGUUGCUGUGUGGUGUGCAGUGGUUUCACAGUCAGUUUCCAGUUGACAGAUGCACUUGAAUGGAGCUUGUGCAGACUUGCAAUUCAACAUUAAACCCCAAUUUCUCAUUUGUCUUUUCUUGUUGUGUUCAUGCGGUGUUGAAAAGUUGGUGAAAAUAGUCCAUUUUACCUGAGAGCUUGUCUUGCAUAUUAUGUCAGCUGCAAUUUUGUCGACAUGUUAUCUUCUGCCACCUGUACCGGCGUUGAGUUAAUACAAUCGCUCGCCGCCGUUCCAUAGCUGAAACAGAAGAGAUGCUGAAAUUCAAAACUGAUAAAUAAUGUAGGCCUAGAUGAUUAUUAGGGCAUAUCUGUGCUCCUUCCUUCCCCUUUUUCUUAAGUAAACAGAACCAAUCCCAACCCCUGUAAGCUUGUAAAAUCAAAGUAUAGAUGAAGGUACAAUUAAUCAUAGAAGAGUAGUUUCCCUCAUAUAGCCCUCCAAAUUUUCCACAGAUGAUGUCUUAUCGCAUUAUCACAGCGGGUGAUUAACUAGCUGUAACUGAAUAGUUCUUGUCUUUUCUAGAAAGAACAUGACUUCUCUUAAAGUCUGUUAUGCAAAUUUAGAAACCUGUUGUUUAGAAUCAGCAAAUAUAAAAAAAAAAUAAAGUUACCUUGUUUAUACUUUU
This 1449-nucleotide long non-coding RNA is filed under the name Daphnia pulex (common water flea). Its description in RNAcentral is "uncharacterized LOC124192286, transcript variant X6". Lineage: Eukaryota; Metazoa; Arthropoda; Branchiopoda; Diplostraca; Daphniidae. The record is from RNAcentral.